This 468-nucleotide ribosomal RNA is filed under the name uncultured bacterium. Its description in RNAcentral is "partial 16S ribosomal RNA". It matches the Rfam family "Bacterial small subunit ribosomal RNA", at positions 28 to 507 of the family's 1533-position model. The record is from RNAcentral.
GACGAACGCUGGCGGCGUGCUUAACACAUGCAAGUCGAACGGAAAGGCCCUGCUGUUGUGGGGUGCUCGAAUGGCGAACGGGUGAGUAACACGUGAGUAACCUGCCCUUGACUUUGGGAUAACUUCAGGAAACUGGGGCUAAUAACGGAUAGGAGCUGCUGCUGCAUGGUGGGGGUGGGAAAGUUUCGGCGGUUGGGGAUGGGCUCGCGGCUUAUCAGCUUGUUGGUGGGGUAGUGGCUUACCAAGGCUUUGACGGGUAGCCGGCCUGAGAGGGUGACCGGCCACAUUGGGACUGAGAUACGGCCCAGACUCCUACGGGAGGCAGCAGUGGGGAAUAUUGCACAAUGGGCGGAAGCCUGAUGCAGCAACGCCGCGUGCGGGAUGACGGCCUUCGGGUUGUAAACCGCUUUCGCCUGUGACGAAGCGUGAGUGACGGUAAUGGGUAAAGAAGCACCGGCUAACUACGUG